UCAAAGACUUAAACUUCAUUCCCAAUCUAAAUUUGAAGCCCUUCGUCAUAUCUUCUGCUAUAUACUUUGGAAAGUGCCUCUUAUUCUCCCUCACAUCCUCACCAUUAUCUAAAUUUGAAGACAACUCAUUUGUAUCAUAAUCUUCAUUUAUCUCAUGAUGUCCAACCUCUUCGUUAAUAAAAAAUGCCCCCUCAUUAUCUUCCAAUCUGCUCUUCACACUUUUAUUUUUCUUUUUCAUUCUCAUUCUCUUCCACCUAUCCAAAACUGGUUUAAUAUUUCUUCUCUUUUCCUCCACCGUCUCAUUGUCCAUCCCAAACCCAUCAUCAUCAUUUGCCAUUCUCUCCUCUUCAUUGUCAUCAACAUUUUCCACCCCUUCGCCCUCAACGACAUUGCCCUCUUCAUCCUCUUCCUCUUGCUCUUCCUCUU
RNAcentral lists this long non-coding RNA (426 nucleotides) under Vigna radiata. RNAcentral's name for it is "long non-coding RNA (VRAD_LNC015755)". Lineage: Eukaryota; Viridiplantae; Streptophyta; Magnoliopsida; Fabales; Fabaceae. The record is from RNAcentral.